AUGAACGCUGGCGGCGUGCCUCAUACAUGCCAGUCGAGCGAACAGAUGAGGAGCUUGCUCCUCUGACGUUAGCGGCGGACGGGUGAGUAACACGUGGAUAACCUACCUAUAAGACUGGGAUAACUUCGGGAAACCGGAGCUAAUACCGGAUAAUAUAUUGAACCGCAUGGUUCAAUAGUGAAAGACGGUUUUGCUGUCACUUAUAGAUGGAUCCGCGCCGCAUUAGCUAGUUGGUAAGGUAACGGCUUACCAAGGCAACGAUGCGUAGCCGACCUGAGAGGGUGAUCGGCCACACUGGAACUGAGACACGGUCCAGACUCCUACGGGAGGCAGCAGUAGGGAAUCUUCCGCAAUGGGCGAAAGCUUGACGGAGCAACGCCGCGUGAGUGAUGAAGGUCUUCGGAUCGUAAAACUCUGUUAUUAGGGAAGAACAAAUGUGUAAGUAACUAUGCACGUCUUGACGGUACCUAAUCAGAAAGCCACGGCUAACUACGUG
This 496-nucleotide ribosomal RNA is filed under the name uncultured bacterium. Its description in RNAcentral is "partial 16S ribosomal RNA". It matches the Rfam family "Bacterial small subunit ribosomal RNA", at positions 29 to 507 of the family's 1533-position model. The record is from RNAcentral.